RNAcentral lists this non-coding RNA (111 nucleotides) under Methylomonas lenta. Its description in RNAcentral is "TPP sequence". It matches the Rfam family "TPP riboswitch aptamer (THI element)". Rfam says of the family: Vitamin B(1) in its active form thiamin pyrophosphate (TPP) is an essential coenzyme that is synthesised by coupling of pyrimidine and thiazole moieties in bacteria. Lineage: Bacteria; Pseudomonadati; Pseudomonadota; Gammaproteobacteria; Methylococcales; Methylococcaceae. The record is from Rfam by way of RNAcentral.
CUUAAAGGCUAGGGGUGCUUUCAUCAUGAACUACAUUGCCGUGAAAGCUGAGAAAAACCCUUUGAACCUGACCCGGUUAAUGCCGGCGUAGGAAAGCCCGAUCUUACCUGC